Molecule: ribosomal RNA, 504 nt
Filed under: Bacillus sp. (in: firmicutes)
Lineage: Bacteria; Bacillati; Bacillota; Bacilli; Caryophanales; Bacillaceae
Description: bacterial SSU rRNA
Rfam family: Bacterial small subunit ribosomal RNA
Source: RNAcentral
CUCAGGAUGAACGCUGGCGGCGUGCCUAAUACAUGCAAGUCGAGCGAACUGAUUAGAAGCUUGCUUCUAUGACGUUAGCGGCGGACGGGUGAGUAACACGUGGGCAACCUGCCUGUAAGACUGGGAUAACUUCGGGAAACCGAAGCUAAUACCGGAUAGGAUCUUCUCCUUCAUGGGAGAUGAUUGAAAGAUGGUUUCGGCUAUCACUUACAGAUGGGCCCGCGGUGCAUUAGCUAGUUGGUGAGGUAACGGCUCACCAAGGCAACGAUGCAUAGCCGACCUGAGAGGGUGAUCGGCCACACUGGGACUGAGACACGGCCCAGACUCCUACGGGAGGCAGCAGUAGGGAAUCUUCCGCAAUGGACGAAAGUCUGACGGAGCAACGCCGCGUGAGUGAUGAAGGCUUUCGGGUCGUAAAACUCUGUUGUUAGGGAAGAACAAGUACAAGAGUAACUGCUCGUACCUUGACGGUACCUAACCAGAAAGCCACGGCUAACUACGUGC